CCUACGGGAGGCAGCAGUAGGGAAUCUUCCACAAUGGGCGAAAGCCUGAUGGAGCAACGCCGCGUGGGUGAAGAAGGUCUUCGGAUCGUAAAACCCUGUUGUUCGAGGAGAAAGUGCGUGAGAGUAACUGUUCACGUUUCGACGGUAGCUAACCAGAAAGCCACGGCUAACUUCGUGCCAGCGGCCUCGGGCAUACGUAGGUGGCAAGCGUUAUCCGGAUUUAUUUGGCGUAAAGGGAACGCGGGGGGUCUUGUAAGUGUGAUGGGAAAGCCGUGGGCCUCAACGGCGUAGUGCAUUGGAAACUGGGAGACUUGAGUGCAGAAGAGGAGAGCGGAACGCCAUGUGUAGCGGUGAAAUGCGUAGAUAUAUGGAAGAACACCAGUGGCGAAGGCGGCUCUCUGGUCUGUAACUGACGCUGAGGUACGAAAGCGUGGGUAUCAAACAGGAUUAGAUACCCCUGUAGUC
RNAcentral lists this ribosomal RNA (465 nucleotides) under uncultured bacterium. RNAcentral's name for it is "partial 16S ribosomal RNA". It matches the Rfam family "Bacterial small subunit ribosomal RNA", at positions 338 to 795 of the family's 1533-position model. The record is from RNAcentral.